Molecule: ribosomal RNA, 1260 nt
Filed under: metagenome
Description: bacterial LSU rRNA
Rfam family: Bacterial large subunit ribosomal RNA
Source: RNAcentral
UGAGUAUUCUAAGGCGCUUGAGAGAACUCAGGAGAAGGAACUCGGCAAAUUGACACCGUAACUUCGGAAGAAGGUGUGCCCUAUUAGUGUGAAGUGAACAACGGAGCAUGAAUGGGUUGCAAAAAAUCGGUGGCUGCGACUGUUUAUUAAAAACACAGCACUCUGCAAACACGAAAGUGGACGUAUAGGGUGUGACGCCUGCCCGGUGCUGGAAGAUUAAAUGAUGGGGUGCAAGCUCUUGAUUGAAGUCCCAGUAAACGGCGGCCGUAACAAUAACGGUCCUAAGGUAGCGAAAUUCCUUGUCGGGUAAGUUCCGACCUGCACGAAUGGCGUAACGAUGGCCACACUGUCUCCUCCUGAGACUCAGCGAAGUUGAAAUGUUUGUGAUGAUGCAAUCUCCCCGCGGAAAGACGGAAAGACCCCAUGAACCUUUACUGUAGCUUUGUAUUGGACUUUGAACAGAUCUGUGUAGGAUAGGUGGGAGGCUUUGAAGCAGGGUCGCUAGAUCUUGUGGAGCCAACGUUGAAAUACCACCCUGGUGUGUUUGAGGUUCUAACCUAGGUCCAUUAUCUGGAUCGGGGACAGUGCAUGGUAGGCAGUUUGACUGGGGCGGUCUCCUCCCAAAGCGUAACGGAGGAGUUCGAAGGUACGCUAGUUACGGUCGGACAUCGUGACGAUAGUGCAAUGGCAUAAGCGUGCUUAACUGCGAGACUGACAAGUCGAGCAGAUGCGAAAGCAGGACAUAGUGAUCCGGUGGUUCUGUAUGGAAGGGUCAUCGCUCAACGGAUAAAAGGUACUCUGGGGAUAACAGGCUGAUACCGCCCAAGAGUUCAUAUCGACGGCGGUGUUUGGCACCUCGAUGUCGGCUCAUCUCAUCCUGGGGCUGUAGCCGGUCCCAAGGGUAUGGCUGUUCGCCAUUUAAAGAGGUACGUGAGCUGGGUUUAAAACGUCGUGAGACAGUUUGGUCCCUAUCUUCCGUGGGCGCUGCAGAUUUGAGGAAGCCUGCUCCUAGUACGAGAGGACCGGAGUGGACACACCUCUGGUGUAUCGGUUGUCACGCCAGUGGCAUUGCCGAGUAGCUAAGUGUGGAAGAGAUAACCGCUGAAAGCAUCUAAGCGGGAAACUCGUUUCAAGAUGAGAUCUGCCGGGGCCUUGAGCCCCCUGAAGAGUCGUUCAAGACCAGGACGUUGAUAGGUCAGGUGUGGAAGCGCAGUAAUGCGUUAAGCUAACUGAUACUAAUUGCUCGUGUGGCUUGAACAA